UACGUAGGGUGCAAGCGUUGUCCGGAAUUACUGGGCGUAAAGGGCUCGUAGGCGGCCAACUAAGUCAGACGUGAAAUCCCCAGGCUCAACCUGGGAACUGCGUCUGAUACUGGAUGGCUUGAAUCCGGGAGAGGGAUGCAGAAUUCCAGGUGUAGCAGUGAAAUGCGUAGAGAUGCGGAGGAACACCGAUGGCGAAGGCAGCCCCCUGGGCUAGCACUGACGCUCAGGCACGAAAGCGUGGGGAGCAAACAGG
RNAcentral lists this ribosomal RNA (253 nucleotides) under uncultured bacterium. Its description in RNAcentral is "partial 16S ribosomal RNA". It matches the Rfam family "Bacterial small subunit ribosomal RNA", at positions 524 to 776 of the family's 1533-position model. The record is from RNAcentral.